This 431-nucleotide ribosomal RNA is filed under the name uncultured bacterium. RNAcentral describes it as "partial 16S ribosomal RNA". It matches the Rfam family "Bacterial small subunit ribosomal RNA", at positions 29 to 507 of the family's 1533-position model. The record is from RNAcentral.
AACGAACGCUGGCGGCAGGCCUAACACAUGCAAGUCGAGCGCCCCGCCAGGGGAGCGGCGGACGGGUGAGUAACGCGUGGGAAUAUGCCCUUUGCUACGGAAUAGUAUCGGGAAACUGGGGGUAAUACCGUAUACGCCCUUUGGGGGAAAGACUUAUCGGCGAAGGAUUAGCCCGCGGUGGAUUAGGUAGUUGGUGGGGUAAUGGCCUACCAAGCCGACGAUCCAUAGCUGGUUUGAGAGGAUGAUCAGCCACACUGGGACUGAGACACGGCCCAGACUCCUACGGGAGGCAGCAGGGGGGAAUCUUAGACAAUGGGAGCAACCCUGAGCUAGCCAUGCCGCGUGAGUGAUGAAGGCCUUAGGGUUGUAAAGCUCUUUCAGCUGGGAAGAUAAUGACGGUACCAGCAGAAGAAGCCCGGGCUAACUCCGUG